UUUGAUUACCAUGGUACGUGCACAUUGAUGAUUUGAUCUUCCUUAUAUAAGAAGUUAGAUAUACUUUGAAGAUGGCCCUUUUCGGAAUUUAAUUUGUUAUGGUAUUAUGGAUGAAAUGUGCAAGAUUCGAUCUCUCCGACCAUAGGGAGUGAGAAUCACUUUAAAGAUGGCAUUUACGGAUUAGUCUUGCAUGAAGUUAGUGAGAAUAAGAAUGGUUUUGGAAAAUGAGCAAUGAUUAUUGUAAAAGGAUAAUUAUGCACAAAUGAUUUAAAAGAUAUUAUUUAUUUUCGUUGGGUUAUAUUUUUAUGUUUUAAUUUAUUUUGUGAAAUUUAAUAUUUAUUUCCAUGACUUAUGAAAAUAUUUCAAAUGUCCAUGUAUGAUUUGGGAAAUUUUUAAUUAUUGAUCAAUGUCAUUUAAAUAUUUGAUUUGUAUUAUUGAAAAUAUUGGCUUUGAUUUUAUGAAUUAUGAAGAAAUCGACAUUUCCAAUUUUUGUUAUGAUUUGUCAACGUAUAUUUUUUUAUCAUAUUUUAAAUUUAUUAGUUGUGCACCACUGAAUUCACCACUCAGCGAUAGCUUUGUAUGCUGUCGCAGGUAAGAAGAGCAUAGAGCAGUGAUUAAGUUGCUUUGAGGACACUUUCAGAUAAGCUCCAGGAAAGCUGCAGUG
This 664-nucleotide unclassified non-coding RNA is filed under the name Hevea brasiliensis (rubber tree). The record is from RNAcentral. Lineage: Eukaryota; Viridiplantae; Streptophyta; Magnoliopsida; Malpighiales; Euphorbiaceae.